CAUGGGUUAUCGCUAACAGCCGUUGAUUGAUUUUCUCCUAUGUGUUUAUCGGUUAUUUGCUAGUCGUGUUAUGUAGUUAUACACAUUAUCUCUGUACGUUUUCUUAUUAUAUGAUAUUCGCAGCCUUGUCGAUUUGUAUUCUUGUAAAAUUUGGCGAAACAAGAAAUAUGAGCAAGAUGAAAUUUUACAUUGUGACUUUGCUGUUGGUUCUUGCGCUUGUGACAGAAUCUACAUCACAAUUGAUUGGUAGCAGGAAAAGACAUGAACGCGCAUCAGCCAGUCAGGAUCUUCCUCAGUACCGGCAGGCAAUAUCUGAUAACAACUGGAAUAAAAUGUUGCGUCAAAAUGGGAAAUGAAAACUGUUAAAUAGAUGACCAUUUUCAAUGACAAACUUAUAACUGCAUAAAGUGUAUCAAAAAUUCUA
Mercenaria mercenaria is the source of this 424-nucleotide long non-coding RNA. RefSeq lists it as uncharacterized. The record is from RefSeq and is a predicted model, not a curated record. The transcript is spliced from 2 exons. NCBI's taxonomy places the organism in Eukaryota, Metazoa, Mollusca, Bivalvia, Venerida, Veneridae.